This 490-nucleotide ribosomal RNA is filed under the name uncultured bacterium. RNAcentral describes it as "bacterial SSU rRNA". It matches the Rfam family "Bacterial small subunit ribosomal RNA", at positions 355 to 861 of the family's 1533-position model. The record is from RNAcentral.
UGGGGAAUCUUGGACAAUGGGCGCAAGCCUGAUCCAGCCAUGCCGCGUGAGCGAUGAAGGCCUUAGGGUUGUAAAGCUCUUUCACCGGUGAAGAUAAUGACGGUAGCCGGAGAAGAAGCCCCGGCUAACUCCGUGCCAGCAGCCGCGGUAAUACGGAGGGGGCUAGCGUUGUUCGGAAUUACUGGGCGUAAAGCGCGCGUAGGCGGACUGAUCAGUCAGGGGUGAAAUCCCGGGGCUCAACCCCGGAACUGCCUUUGAUACUGUCAGUCUUGAGUCCGGAAGAGGCGAGUGGAAUACCGAGUGUAGAGGUGAAAUUCGUAGAUAUUUGGAGGAACACCAGUGGCGAAGGCGGCUCACUGGCUCGAUACUGACGCUGAGGUGCGAAAGUGUGGGGAGCAAAACAGGAUUAGAUACCCUGGUAGUCCACACCGUAAAACGAUGAAUGCCAGUCGUCGGGUAGCAUGCUAUUCGGUGACACACCUAACGGAUU